RNAcentral lists this ribosomal RNA (1026 nucleotides) under Bifidobacterium adolescentis. Its description in RNAcentral is "bacterial SSU rRNA". It matches the Rfam family "Bacterial small subunit ribosomal RNA", at positions 56 to 1090 of the family's 1533-position model. The record is from RNAcentral. Lineage: Bacteria; Bacillati; Actinomycetota; Actinomycetes; Bifidobacteriales; Bifidobacteriaceae.
UGCAGUCGAACGGGAUCCCAGGAGCUUGCUCCUGGGUGAGAGUGGCGAACGGGUGAGUAAUGCGUGACCGACCUGCCCCAUACACCGGAAUAGCUCCUGGAAACGGGUGGUAAUGCCGGAUGCUCCAGUUGGAUGCAUGUCCUUCUGGGAAAGAUUCAUCGGUAUGGGAUGGGGUCGCGUCCUAUCAGCUUGAUGGCGGGGUAACGGCCCACCAUGGCUUCGACGGGUAGCCGGCCUGAGAGGGCGACCGGCCACAUUGGGACUGAGAUACGGCCCAGACUCCUACGGGAGGCAGCAGUGGGGAAUAUUGCACAAUGGGCGCAAGCCUGAUGCAGCGACGCCGCGUGCGGGAUGACGGCCUUCGGGUUGUAAACCGCUUUUGACUGGGAGCAAGCCCUUCGGGGUGAGUGUACCUUUCGAAUAAGCACCGGCUAACUACGUGCCAGCAGCCGCGGUAAUACGUAGGGUGCAAGCGUUAUCCGGAAUUAUUGGGCGUAAAGGGCUCGUAGGCGGUUCGUCGCGUCCGGUGUGAAAGUCCAUCGCUUAACGGUGGAUCCGCGCCGGGUACGGGCGGGCUUGAGUGCGGUAGGGGAGACUGGAAUUCCCGGUGUAACGGUGGAAUGUGUAGAUAUCGGGAAGAACACCAAUGGCGAAGGCAGGUCUCUGGGCCGUCACUGACGCUGAGGAGCGAAAGCGUGGGGAGCGAACAGGAUUAGAUACCCUGGUAGUCCACGCCGUAAACGGUGGAUGCUGGAUGUGGGGACCAUUCCACGGUCUCCGUGUCGGAGCCAACGCGUUAAGCAUCCCGCCUGGGGAGUACGGCCGCAAGGCUAAAACUCAAAGAAAUUGACGGGGGCCCGCACAAGCGGCGGAGCAUGCGGAUUAAUUCGAUGCAACGCGAAGAACCUUACCUGGGCUUGACAUGUUCCCGACAGCCGUAGAGAUACGGUCUCCCUUCGGGGCGGGUUCACAGGUGGUGCAUGGUCGUCGUCAGCUCGUGUCGUGAGAUGUUGGGUUAAGUCCCGC